CCUACGGGGGGCAGCAGUGAGGAAUAUUGGUCAAUGGGCGCGAGCCUGAACCAGCCAAGUCGCGUGAGGGAAGACGGUCCUAUGGAUUGUAAACCUCUUUUGUCGGGGAGCAAAAGACGCCACGCGUGGCGUUCCGAGAGUACCCGAAGAAAAAGCAUCGGCUAACUCCGUGCCAGCAGCCGCGGUAAUACGGAGGAUGCGAGCGUUAUCCGGAUUUAUUGGGUUUAAAGGGUGCGCAGGCGGUCUGUUAAGUCAGCGGUCAAAGCCCGGGGCUCAACCCCGGCCCGCCGUUGAAACUGGCAGUC
RNAcentral lists this ribosomal RNA (305 nucleotides) under uncultured bacterium. Its description in RNAcentral is "bacterial SSU rRNA". It matches the Rfam family "Bacterial small subunit ribosomal RNA", at positions 338 to 641 of the family's 1533-position model. The record is from RNAcentral.